CUGGAUUAAAAAAAUAAAGAUUACAAAAUUUUAUUUAUUUUAGAGGGGGUUUUGAGAAAAAAAUUAAAGCCUAAAAUUAAGGGCAAGUUUGUUAUUUUUGUAAAAAAACUAGCACUGAUGAAAUUUUGAUAUUAUUUUUAAAAUAAAAGAGGUUAGUAAUAUUUUUAAAACUAUACGGGAGUUAUAAUUAUAUUUUUUAAAAACUUCAGUAAAAUCACUUUUUUUAAUUGAUAAAAAGCCCACCAUGGCCUUCGUGAAGGACCAAAAUUUGGUGGAUGACAUCUCAUAAAAGACUAGUCAUUAUCGGCCUAUUGGAGGACCAAGACUUUGGUGGAUGACAAUUAAUAAAAGACAGUAUUGUGGGCCCAAUAGAAAGCAAUAAUUGCUACCAUUUCUCAUAAACAAAGACAAAAGACUCGGUGGAGGGCUAAAAAGAGAGGGUUGUUUCUCACACCCCUCCAAAGACAAAAACCCAGGGCCCACACAAAAUUUAUUAAUUAGUUUUUUUAA
Molecule: long non-coding RNA, 510 nt
Filed under: Actinidia chinensis (golden kiwifruit)
Lineage: Eukaryota; Viridiplantae; Streptophyta; Magnoliopsida; Ericales; Actinidiaceae
Description: long non-coding RNA (ACHI_LNC005951)
Source: RNAcentral